GAGUUCAAUAGUACGUGAAACCGUUCAGGGGUAAACCUGAGAAGCCCGAAAGGUCGAAAGAGGAGAUUCAGCGUGUCUCGACGGUGGCGCUGGACGGUCGCGAGACGGAAGGCGUACGCGUCGUCCGCUCCUUCCGUUCUUCGAACCGCCGUGGAACGCGUGCACUUCUCUUCCUGUAGGACGUUGCGAUCCGUUGGGUGCCGGUCUAAGGCCCGCGGUGGAGCCCGUCCGGACGGUUCACCGUUCCGGACGAACCCGCGGUGUUUCCCGAUCGGCUCGCUCGACGGUAUACAUAUGGCGCGGGGCCGCUACACAUACAGUUAGCGUCCGACCCGUGGCAAGCGCGCUCGUCGUGAUGGUGAUCGGACCUGGUGCCGGUCCUGUCCCCGAGUGGCUGUUCGCUGCGGAGUUCUCGGACAGACCUCGUUGAAACGCCGAUCUGCGACGCUAUAGCUUUGGGUACUUUCAGGACCCGUCUUGAAACACGGACCAAGGAGUCUAGCAUGUGCGCGAGUCAUUGGGACAUGACUAAACCUAAAGGCGCAAUGAAAGUGAAAGUCCGCCUUGCGCGGACCGAGGGAGGAUGGGUGGCAGUUACGGCUGCCGCUCCGCACUCCCGGGGCGUCUCGUUCUCAUUGCGAGAAGAGGCGCACCAACAGCGUACACGCUGGGACCCGAAAGAUGGUGAACUAUGCCUGGUCAGGACGAAGUCAGGGGAAACCCUGAUGGAGGUCCGUAGCGAUUCUGACGUGCAAAUCGAUCGUCGGAACUGGGUAUAGGGGCGAAAGACUAAUCGAACCAU
This 802-nucleotide ribosomal RNA is filed under the name Onymacris paiva paiva. Its description in RNAcentral is "eukaryotic LSU rRNA". It matches the Rfam family "Eukaryotic large subunit ribosomal RNA", at positions 385 to 943 of the family's 3401-position model. The record is from RNAcentral. Lineage: Eukaryota; Metazoa; Arthropoda; Insecta; Coleoptera; Tenebrionidae.